GAAGAGAUCACUGAACAAACAAGCAAUUGCACCAGUGAUGAAAUUUUGGUUUUAUAAAUGGUGUUACACUUUCAAUUUGCUUGAUUCUUUUCAUCGAAAAGUUAGCUGUAUUUCAGAAGAUUUGGCAGAAGACCAGCUAGCCCCCAAGGCGAUAUUUUUAUCAAAUUUGAUAGAGCAUUUUAAUACAGAGGAUACUUUUGCGAACGCGGCAUGAAAAUUUCAACAAGUAUGUGGACCACAAUGGAAGCUAAAAG
Non-coding RNA from Paramuricea clavata, 254 nucleotides. The record is from the annotation of a GenBank genome assembly. Lineage: Eukaryota; Metazoa; Cnidaria; Anthozoa; Malacalcyonacea; Plexauridae.